This 252-nucleotide ribosomal RNA is filed under the name uncultured bacterium. RNAcentral's name for it is "partial 16S ribosomal RNA". It matches the Rfam family "Bacterial small subunit ribosomal RNA", at positions 15 to 263 of the family's 1533-position model. The record is from RNAcentral.
GAUCCUGGCUCAGAUUGAACGCUGGCGGCAGGCUUAACACAUGCAAGUCGAACGGUAACAUAGAGAAGCUUGUUUCUUUGAUGACGAGUGGCGGACGGGUGAGUAAUGCUUGGGAAUCUGGCUUAUGGAGGGGGAUAACUACGGGAAACUGUAGCUAAUACCGCGUAAUAUCGAAAGAUUAAAGUGUGGGACCUUCGGGCCACAUGCCAUAGGAUGAGCCCAAGUGGGAUUAGGUAGUUGGUGAGGUAAAGG